Molecule: ribosomal RNA, 216 nt
Filed under: Glomeromycotina sp.
Lineage: Eukaryota; Fungi; Glomeromycota
Description: partial small subunit ribosomal RNA
Rfam family: Eukaryotic small subunit ribosomal RNA (bases 40-216)
Source: RNAcentral
GGGUCAGUAGGUUGGUCGUGCCACCGGUACGUACUGGUCUCACUGAUUCCUCCUUCCUGAAGAACCGUAAUGCCAUUAAUUUGGUGUUGCGGGGAAACAGGACUGUUACUUUGAAAAAAUUAGAGUGUUUAAGGCAAGCUAACGCUUGAAUACAUUAGCAUGGAAUAAUGAAAUAGGACGAUCGAUCCUAUUUUGUCGGUUUCUAGGAUUGACGUA